Fukomys damarensis (Damara mole-rat) is the source of this 137-nucleotide small nuclear RNA. Its record names the gene U4. It matches the Rfam family "U4 spliceosomal RNA". From Rfam's summary of the family: U4 small nuclear RNA (U4 snRNA) is a component of the major U2-dependent spliceosome. The structure of U4 snRNA from yeast and human has been reported. U4 snRNA presents a k-turn RNA motif in the 5p-SL related to recognition of Snu13 protein. Lineage: Eukaryota; Metazoa; Chordata; Mammalia; Rodentia; Bathyergidae. The record is from Ensembl.
CGCUUUGCACAGUGGCGGUAUUGUAGCCAAUGAGGUUUAUCCAAGGCGCAAUUAUUGCUAAUUGAAAACUUCUACUCAAAGAACACAGGAUUAUAGUGAUAAUAGUUAGAUGUUACUUAUUCUGAUAUUUAAAAGUU